This 251-nucleotide ribosomal RNA is filed under the name uncultured prokaryote. RNAcentral's name for it is "partial 16S rRNA". It matches the Rfam family "Bacterial small subunit ribosomal RNA", at positions 525 to 775 of the family's 1533-position model. The record is from RNAcentral.
ACGGAGGGGGCGAACGUUGUUCGGAUUUACUGGGCGUAAAGGGUGCGUAGGCGGUUCGGUUAGUCUGGUGUGAAAAUCCGUCGCUUAACGACGGAAACGCAUCGGAAACUGCCGAGCUCGAGUAUGGGAGAGGCAGGUGGAAUUCCCGGUGUAGCGGUGGAAUGCGUAGAGAUCGGGAAGAACACUCGUGGCGAAGGCGGCCUGCUGGCCCAUUACUGACGCUGAGGCACGAAAGCCAGGGGAGCAAACGG